AAUUAUGACCUAAUAAACACAAUAAAUCAACAAAAAUCUCUUCACGCCUGAGUGCAUUCCGGGUUUUGUACUCGCCCUGCCAUUUGUAAACAACCAGAAGGGAGACAACUCCAAACAAAAUACAUCUGUAUAUACAUUGUACAAGGAUGCACCAAAGUGAUAUAUGAAUUUUUAUUUCCUUCAUGAGAGAUAUACAAUGUGUUAUUUCCCUGUCACUUAAUGCAUUUCAACUAAGUUAUUUCCCUGUCACUUAAUGCAUUUCAACUAAGUUAUUUCCCUGUCACUUAAUGCAUUUCAACUAAGUUAUUUCCCUGUCACUUAAUGCAUUUCAACUAAGUUAUUUCCCUGUCACUUAAUGCAUUUCAACUAAGUUAUUUCCCUGUCACUUAAUGCAUUUCAACUAAGUUAUUUCCCUGUCACUUAAUGCAUUUCAACUAAGUUAUUUCCCUGUCACUUAAUGCAUUUCAACUAAGUUAUUUCCCUGUCACUUAAUGCAUUUCAACUAAGUUAUUUCCCUGUCACUUAAUGCAUUUCAACUAAGUUAUUUCCCUGUCACUUAAUGCAUUUCAACUAAGUUAUUUCCCUGUCACUUAAUGCAUUUCAACUAAGUUAUUUCCCUGUCACUUAAUGCAUUUCAACUAAGUUAUUUCCCUGUCACUUAAUGCAUUUCAACUAAGUUAUUUCCCUGUCACUUAAUGCAUUUCAACUAAGUUAUUUCCCUGUCACUUAAUGCAUUUCAACUAAGUUAUUUCCCUGUCACUUAAUGCAUUUCAACUAAGUUAUUUCCCUGUCACUUAAUGCAUUUCAACUAAGUUAUUUCCCUGUCACUUAAUGCAUUUCAACUAAGUUAUUUCCCUGUCACUUAAUGCAUUUCAACUAAGUUAUUUCCCUGUCACUUAAUGCAUUUCAACUAAGUUAUUUCCCUGUCACUUAAUGCAUUUCAACUAAGUUAUUUCCCUGUCACUUAAUGCAUUUCAACUAAGUUAUUUCCCUGUCACUUAAUGCAUUUCAACUAAGUUAUUUCCCUGUCACUUAAUGCAUUUCAACUAAGUUAUUUCCCUGUCACUUAAUGCAUUUCAACUAAGUUAUUUCCCUGUCACUUAAUGCAUUUCAACUAAGUUAUUUCCCUGUCACUUAAUGCAUUUCAACUAAGUACGGACACUGUUACAAGGAUAUAAUAUAUAGGAAACAAAGAGGUUGUGUAUUUAUAGGUUCCUUGCUGAGGGUUCUGUAUAAUAUAUAAUAAUAGGGUGGAAGUUGAGCAUGUUUGUACGGUGUGCGUGAAUAUAGGCCUAUAUUAUAUUGAUGGAUGUGUGAAAGUGAAUACCUUGGUGUGUGUAGAUCGGCGAGCCAGUGAUUGAGUGGAUGUGGAUACCUGUAUCCUUUAUAUUCGUUGGUGCCGCUGGGACGUGUUUAACUGUCACUCGUGUCGUCAAUGUUUGUUUAUAUGCAGGUAUAUUUCUGGGGUAGCCAGAUCAAGUAGCUGUGUGCUGAUUGGUGUACUUCUAAACUCAUCUGUCAUUGACUGUCGUAUUUUCUAUAAAUUACAGCACACAUGCAUUUCGUGAGUUAGGUGGUAGAUUCCCAAGCUGAGCCUAACUCAACAUACUUUAUUGUCAGCUGUUAUCGGGUCAGGUUCUCUACAGAUUCCUGUUGUGUAUUGUACUGGCAAUGCAGGAUUUAACAGAUAACGCCUUUUAACCUAAAAAUAAGACAAAAAUACUUCUUUUCCUAAUUCUCCGACUAAUUGGUAUUGUGAUUAAUUAAAACUGGUGAAUGUUUUUCUCUGAUAUUUAAAUAAUAUAGACAAGUCAGUAUGUUUUCUUGAAUCAUGGAUGUAGUACCACAGACCCCAUACCAGAGACUGUCCCUCCUGAGGAAUGAUCCUUAUUUACGUUUGAAUAGUUACCUAAACUGGCCACCUUCUGCCCAUGUGACACCUCAGGACUUGUGCGAUGAUGGUUUUUAUUACACCGGGCUAGAAGACAGGGUUCAGUGUACACACUGUGGUGGGAUCCUUAGCUGCUGGGAACCUGGAGACAUCGUAGCCAAUGAACACAGUACACAUUUCCCGCAGUGUCCAUGGGUUGUUUCCAGGCGGAACAAUGCAUUUUCCCGACCUGCAAUACGGCAGUGUGGACUUAUCAACAUUAGCGACAGUGGUGGGUUCACAUUCGGACACCCAAGGAACACACCGGACAUUCCUCUCCGGUACCAGGCCCCUACACACCCAGGGGAUGUUCCAGGCACCAGUCGACCUAAGUAUCCAGAGUAUGCCUUAGAGAGUAACCGACUGGCAACUUUUAAAGGCUGGCCAUCUCAGCUGAGUCAGAAACCAGCAGCUUUGGCUAAGGGGGGACUUUUUUAUUUAGGACAGGGUGACCGAUGCAAGUGUUUCUUUUGCGGUGGAGUUCUAUAUGACUGGGACCUUGGAGACGAUAUCUGGACAGAACAUGCCAAAUGGUUUAAAGAUUGUCCUUUCGUCAAGCUGUCCAAAGGCGAGCCCUUCAUAAGUCAGGUUCAGCUGGACCUUCAACAAACACAGAGUCAAGGAGUAAAUAUGGAAAAUGUUGCCGAUGUACAACCAGUGUCUAAUUCAUUCCCAACUGGUGAACUGAGUGUGUCAUCAACACCAAAUGCACCAACAGGUUUCAUGGGCCUGUCAACUGGUCCCUCGAGUUCUGGGGUAUCAUCAGGAAUGCCUCCACUGGGUUCUACUGAUAGAGAUGAAACAGCACUUAAAUCUGUGGCGUUGUCAUCCACAACAUCAGCGUCCUCAAAACCAUCAGUAAAGUCAACAACGGAGCAGACAGCAAAGCCCAGCUCGUCGGGGACAAGCACAGGGCAGCCUGCUUCUGCUUCAGGGUCGAGUGAAGUCGGCUCAGAUAUAAAGAGUAUAAUUGAAGAAAACCAGAAGUUGAAAGACGAGAGGACAUGUAAGAUAUGUAUGGAUGAGGAGGUCAGUAUAUUGUUUCUACCCUGUGGUCACAUGGCUUGCUGUGCUGGCUGUUCUGUCAGUGUCAACGACUGUCCUAUCUGCCGAGCAGACAUCGCCCAGAGGAUAAAGGCUUACUGGAGUCUCUGACAUUGUUAAACUGUGGUCUUAUGAUCGGGAAAAUAUACAAAGUUAUUAUAAAUCAAAAAUCAUUCAUGAUAUUUCAUUGUUUGCUUAAUUCAGUCAUGUAGAUGUGUGACUUUUCUUUUUAUGAGGCUAGUGCGGUAUGUGUUGUCUGCUACACUACAUGUGCUUGGGUAAUUUAUAAGGUAUAGGGGUCGGGUGGGGCCCCUGUGUCUGGGUAGUUAAUCAGUAUAGGGGUCGGGUGGGGCCCUAUGUCUGGGUAGUUAAUCAGUAUAGGGGUCGGGUGGGGCCCUAUGUCUGGGUAAUUUAUAAGGUAUAGGGGUCGGGUGGGGCCCUAUGUCUAGGUAAUUUAUAAGGUAUAGGGGUCGGGUAGGGCCCUAUGUCUGGGUUAUUUGUCAGUAUAACAUAUAAGGGUCAGGUAGGGCCCUAUGUCUGGGUAAUUAAUCAGUAUAAGGGUCAGGUAGGGCCUAUGUCUGGGUAAUUUGUCAGUAUAACAUAUAGGGGUUAGGUAGGGCCCUAUGUCUAGGUAAUUUAUAAGGUAUAGGGGUCAGGUAGGGCCCUAUGUCUGGGUAAUUAAUCAGUAUAACAUAUAGGGGUUAGGCAGGGCCCUAUGUCUGGGUAAUUUGUCAGUAUAACAUAUAGGGGUUAGGCAGGGCCCUAUGUCUGGGUAAUUUGUCAGUAUAACAUAUAGGGGUUAGGCAGGGCCCUAUGUCUGGGUAAUUAAUCAGUAUAACAUAUAGGGGUUAGGCAGGGCCCUAUGUCUGGGUAAUUUGUCAGUAUAACAUAUAGGGGUCAGGCAGGGCCUAUGUCUGGGUAGUUAAUCAGUAUAAGGGUCAGGUAGGGCCUAUGUCUGGGUAAUUUGUCAGUAUAACAUAUAGGGGUCAGGUAGGGCCUAUGUCUGGGUAAUUUGUCAGUAUAACAUAUAGGGGUCAGGUAGGGCCCUAUGUCUGGGUAAUUUGUCAGUAUAACAUAUAGGGGUUAGGUAGGGCCUAUGUCUGGGUAAUUUGUCAGUAUAACAUAUAGGGGUUAGGCAGGGCCCUAUGUCUGGGUAAUUAAUCAGUAUAAGGGUCAGGUAGGGCCUAUGUCUGGGUAAUUUGUCAGUAUAACAUAUAGGGGUUAGGCAGGGCCCUAUGUCUGAGGGGAAGGUGCCCUUUAUUAAUCUGUCUGUAAUUUUAAUACUUUUAGUGUGAUUUACAUGAAAUUUGGUCAAGAUGUUCAGUUUACACAGUUUUGUAGCUUGUUAUUCGACCUUUAAUUUGUGGUGUUGUAUGUAAUAAUUAAUUUAUUAAUAUAGUCAUAAUGAAUUAAUUAAUGAUCAAUACAAUUUUUUCUACCAUGACGGUGUAUGAAAGAAGUCACAACCUAACGGGAUGAGAAUCAUGAACAUCAAGCCAAGUUCUGUUGAGUGUUACGUUUUGUUGAGCGAGAUUUGUUUGUGCAUAUUUACAUUCCUUAUUGUAUGUGUCUGCAUAUAUAACACAUCUAGUAAACCAAAUUGUAAAAUUAUACUUAGCUGUAGUUUACAGUGAUUCUAUCGGUGUGUGAUGUACAGUAAUUAGCUGUAGUUUACAGUGAUUCUAUCGGUGUGUGAUGUACAGUAAUUAGCUGUAGUUUACAGUGAUUCUAUCGGUGUGUGAUGUACAGUAAUUAGCUGUAGUUUACAGUGAUUCUAUCGGUGUGUGAUGUACAGUGUUCACAAAAUCAAAUCAGUGUUUACCUUCUCAUAUCACGAUUAAGAACAAUUUUCUUUGCACAUGGUAAUUUUCAGAAAUUAUCUUUUUAAUUGACUACAGAAAAUACUACACAGAUUUUUAGCUUAUUUCAGAUAUCAGGUAUCAACUGUUGUGUAUUGGCCUUGAACCUUUUUCACACAGAGUGAUGAAACUUGUGUGGAAUGACAAGUUGAAGGACCAAUUAUUCAUAUGUUUUAAUUGAAAUAAAAUGCAAGAUUGUCACCAU
This is an RNA transcript of Pecten maximus, 5038 nucleotides long. It is a transcript of the gene named baculoviral IAP repeat-containing protein 7-B-like, with no coding region annotated. The record is from RefSeq and is a predicted model, not a curated record. The transcript is spliced from 7 exons. NCBI's taxonomy places the organism in Eukaryota, Metazoa, Mollusca, Bivalvia, Pectinida, Pectinidae.